UGGGGAAUAUUGCACAAUGGGCGCAAGCCUGAUGCAGCCAUGCCGCGUGUGUGAAGAAGGCCUUCGGGUUGUAAAGCACUUUCAGCGAGGAGGAAAGGUGGUGAACUUAAUACGUUCAUCAAUUGACGUUACUCGCAGAAGAAGCACCGGCUAACUCCGUGCCAGCAGCCGCGGUAAUACGGAGGGUGCAAGCGUUAAUCGGAAUUACUGGGCGUAAAGCGCACGCAGGCGGUUUGUUAAGUCAGAUGUGAAAUCCCCCGGGCUCAACCUGGGAACUGCAUUUGAAACUGGCAAGCUAGAGUCUCGUAGAGGGGGGUAGAAUUCCAGGUGUAGCGGUGAAAUGCGUAGAGAUCUGGAGGAAUACCGGUGGCGAAGGCGGCCCCCUGGACGAAGACUGACGCUCAGGUGCGAAAGCGUGGGGAGCAAACAGGAUUAGAUACCCCUGGUAGUCCCACGCUGUAAAACGAUGUCGAUUUUGGAGGUUGUGCCCUUGAGGCGU
RNAcentral lists this ribosomal RNA (499 nucleotides) under uncultured bacterium. RNAcentral's name for it is "partial 16S ribosomal RNA". It matches the Rfam family "Bacterial small subunit ribosomal RNA", at positions 355 to 840 of the family's 1533-position model. The record is from RNAcentral.